UGAGGAACAUGACCUUCGGCGGGGGAUAGCCGGCCCAACGGCCGGGUAAUACCGCGUACGACCUCUUGGGGACAUCCCCGAUUGGUGAAAGCAGCAGUGCGCCGAAAGAGUGCCUCGCGGCCUAUCAGCUAGUUGGUGGGGUAAUGGCUCACCAAGGCAACGACGGGUAGCUGGUCUGAGAGGAUGGCCAGCCACAUUGGGACUGAGACACGGCCCAGACUCCUACGGGAGG
Molecule: ribosomal RNA, 232 nt
Filed under: uncultured bacterium
Lineage: Bacteria
Description: partial 16S ribosomal RNA
Rfam family: Bacterial small subunit ribosomal RNA
Source: RNAcentral